Camellia sinensis is the source of this 520-nucleotide non-coding RNA. The record is from RefSeq and is a predicted model, not a curated record. Lineage: Eukaryota; Viridiplantae; Streptophyta; Magnoliopsida; Ericales; Theaceae.
CAUAACCUCAUUUCGUCAUGGGUAGUAAUUAUAAUCAGGCAAUAUUAAUGUUCAAUAAUGUUUCUUUUGUUUUUCAAAAUUUUUUGUUACAUACUUUAUAUUGGCUGUAUUUAGGAUCAUCGUCAUGAUGUGUACAUUUCUCAAUCUCAACCUAGACCUCAAGUUCACAUGGGUGGUACAAGUGGUCUUCCUCUUAUGUAUGGUACAUAUGAUGGAAAUAACAUGCCUCAGUCAAUGCCUUCUGUGUAUCCCACUCAUAGAUCUUUUCAGGAGUUGUUUCGAGGUACAAGUCCAAGUCUCGCAAGCGUCACAUAGUCUUGCUGACAGUCAUGUAGAUGGACAUCCUUGAGAAGUUUAUUUUAUCUUCAUUUGUUUUGGACAAAUGUUUUUUGUGUUGGACAGAUUUGGUUUGGUUUGGUUUAUUUUGUGUUGGACAGAUUUAUUAUGUUGUGGACAGAUUUAUUUUGUUCUGGACAGAUUUGGACAGAUUUCAUUUGUUUUGGAUAGAUUUGGUCUGAUU